CCCUAAACCUAAAUCUUGCGAAAUGAUGCCUCCCCUGUACUGUUCAUCUUCUUCCCGAUUCAAACCUCAACUCGCCCGAAACUGGUGCGAGUUCACUCAAACAAGUCCCUUCUCUCCACGUCACCCUUAUCCUAACGUAUUUCUGACCAAAAAAGGGGAAUAUUUCCUUUGAAUUUUGCACAAUCUUGUAAUCUUGGGUGAUUUGCUGGAUAAAUGGAAUUCGUGGAUGGAUGGAAAUCAAUCCAUGCCUUGUAUUUGUCCCUAAAAAUCACUCACAAACGAGGAAAUUUUUCGGAUCCUAGGCAGAAGCUUCAAGAAUUUUUGAGGUUAAAUGUAAGGUAAGUUCUAUUCUUGUGAAAGAAGGAAAGAUUUUUUAGAGAAUUGGUAGAGUAAGUUUCUACGGCUCUUGAAGUUUUUAUUUUUCUUCAUGCCUUUUCUUUUUUAGUCUGCUCUCUUCAGAAAACGAAAACAAUAAGAAACAAAAUGGUAUGAGUUUGUGUUCUUCAUUCGAGUUUCAUUUUCAAAAGAAAUCAGAGAAAGCACCAAAAAUGUUUUCAGCAUUUUUUUGUUGAUUCUAGAUUCUCAAGGAUUAGGUUUGAAUUGAGUUGUUUUCCGGUUCUCAAAGCUAAAGGAAGCACACCAAUUUAGUUUAGUAUAAAGUUUAUUUUUUUUCUAUCUAUUCUUUGCAUAAGUCCUUGGAGCUAUUAUCUUAAUCAUUGGUUGUCCCAUUUGCACAUUCUGUGUGCUUACCUCACGAGUUAAAUUGAUACUUUUUUCAAAUAUUUACUAUCCCCUUAGCCUAAUAACAAGAUCAUAUCAUUUUUCCAUAGCAAUUUCGUAUCCAUCCCUCGUAACUUUCCAAUAAUCUCAAACCUUAGAAGAAUAUUCAAACUCAUACCCUAGUUUGCCUUUAAAAAAUAUAACCCUUUUCUUAAAUAAUUUGAGGUGCCAUGCUUAAAACGUAUAAUACAUGGCUCUCAUAAAAUUAGAUCAAGACCUAAUCCUUUUAGAAAAUAAGUAUACGCAAUCAAAAUCUAUAAACUAUGGUGCUCCCAUAAAUAAAAUAUUUUUGUAGAAAUUGCAUUGAACUUUCGUAGUUUUCUUUAGGCCCGUUAAUUAAAUAAUUGUCAUAGCUACCGGCGGUUCCAGUGACGUAGUCGUGAUGCUUAAUUACUAAAAUUUGGGGGGUACAUUUAUGUCAUUUAGCCACAAUUUAAUCUUUAAAAAUUAAACAUGUUGUAGAACGUGUGUACUGUUCUCGUGACAUGAUUCGCAAUAUGUAACAAUAAUUAUUAAAAGCGGUUAUAAAGUUAGAAAUGCACAAUAGGUUUAAAAUGUGUUGUAAAUCAGAUAAUAGGCCAAUUAUUAAAUGUUUAAGCAACCAUGCUAGAACCACGGAACCCGGGAAUACCUAGCACUUUCUUCCGGGUUAACAAAAUUCCUUAAAAUUUUUGGUUCGCAGACUUUUAUAUAAAGUCGAAAUUUCUUCGAUUUGGGAUUUUAAAAAUAAAUCGGUGACUUGGAUACCAAAUAAACUAUUCCAAGUGGCGACUCUAAUAAGUAAAUAAUCCCAUUUCGAUUUAUGUCACUUUAGUUGAAAAAAUUCAUAUAUUACCCUUGCGGUGUAAGAAGGAGGUGUGAAAGAGGUGGUACCCGACCUCGAGGAUCUCGUCAACAAGAAAUUUAGCUCCAAGGAGCCAACAAUGCCAUCUCCAGUCCCAAGGUGGUGCCCGACCUCGAGGACCUCCAUAUAAAAUAAGCUAGGCAUUAAGAAGCCAACAACAUCAUCUUCAGUUUCGAGGUGAUAAUCGACCUCGAAGACCCCUAUCAGCAAGAAGUUUAGGCUUUAAGAAGCUUGUAGUGUCGCCUCCAAUCUCAAGACGGUAUCCGAUCUCGAAGGUUCAUCUCAAGAAGAAAAAUAAGCAUUUCGAGUUCCGUGCAUGAGGGCUCGACUCCUUCACAUCGCCUAAGUAUGAGUAGCCCCUCAUUGGGGGCGUAUCUACAACGCCUCAAAAUAUUAUCUACGCCAAGUUUAAAACAAAACUCUCUAGGCGCCCGAAGCUGGCCCUCACUCAGAUGCCGCUCUCAAAAACUUCGAGUUUCGAGGUGCUAUAUUCAUGUGACUCGAGGGUCCCGAUGGCUCAAGUCUAUUGAACCACUUCAGGCUUGCUUCGAGGAACACCGGUGGGCUUAGGAAAGAGCCAUUUCUAUCAACCAAAGAUCGACAAGAAUACUUGCACCCGAGUUAGAUUUUGACAAAUCGACAACAGAGGUAUACAUUAAGAACUCCCACAAAUAUAAAAGAAUAUGAGAAGCAUCAAAGGCUGAGGUCGAGAAAAUAUCUUUAUAUUUAUGCACAUUUUCUUACAAUAGCCCUUGAGGGGUCCUUACAUAUAAUUACAAAAGCCCAUAAGGGGUUCUUACAAAGAAAUAAAGAAGCGGAGGAGUGUACACCCAUAGUGAAAGCCUAAAGGCCUAGUCUACCCUCGAAGGUUCAUCUUCAGUAGCAGAAUCUCCAAGCGUACCUCCUCUAGGUUCCUUGCACGAUCCCAUGGAAUAACAUCUCCGAGGGAGAAGAUGAAGAAGUGGACAGGAGGAGGAUGUCGAAGAGGCAGAAAAAAGAAACAUAACCGCCGAAGCCAAAGGUUGAAGAUUCGGAGGGCCCCAGCAUCGACAGCUGGUUGUGCCACUUUAUCCCUUGGGAGGAAAAUUAAAAACCCAAGGAAUGAAGUGCCAUACCAUGUCGAGGUAGGAGAGUGAGAAGCGGUGUAGAGUCCGAACGCCCUUCUAUAUCGGAAGAAGCUGACUGCCCUAUAUAGGGAGAUAGUAUUGGGAUACUCCUAUUUAUAGGAGGUAAUGACACGACCAUCGAUGCCCUUGAAAGACUAGUCGACAGAUGUAAUCAACGUGCUCUUGAAAAACUGAGUCGACGGUAGUGUUGUCAUUUUGAAGGAUUGGAAUCGACAGUGUAUUGAAUGGUAUCGAAAAGACAAUUCCAUGGGAUAUCCCAGUUUUCGUGAAAGCUCAUGGGGAGCCUGAAGAUUUCGGCAUUUGAAUCGUUUCCCAUCACUUCGCUCUAGGAAACGUGGAGACUAUUUGUAUGCGAUAAAAUUGGGGAGCCAAUUUCUCGGUAAUAAGGCAUUAAGGAUGAUCACCUAGGAGGCUCAAGAACACAGACUAAGCAUCCUCUCUUGAGAUAUAUCGACACCCGUUUCGGGGGUAACAUUGGCCAAGACCCCAACAGGCAUGGGGAGUUUUCAAAGAAUACAGCUGGGGUCAAAUGAGUCUAUCAGGAUAGCUUAAGGCUAGUCUACACCUGCAUCAUGGAGCCAGUCAGCUGUUCUAUCCCAUUUUCUUUAUAAUUAAUGCGCCAUUUUACCAUGUCUGUAUUUUCCUAUCCUAUAUAAGGGGGAUCCCUAGCAGUUUGUAAAUUCUAUUGUUCCAACUGUUCUACACGAAAUAAUAACUCUUUCUCUCUCUCUUCUCUCUAAUACACUCUCUUGAAAUUGUUUCUUUAGUUUAUUAUCUCCAUACUUGUUCUUCAUUUAUUUGCUUAUCAUUGGCCAUAGCCUCCAUCAAUUAUAUCCUAAUGUUAGCCCUUCCCCAACUUUCCUCGAUAGCUCAAGCCCGAGCCCAGGCAUCAAUUUCGAGGUUGUUUAUCGGUCAGUUUGUGGCCGAAUAACUAGCCCCUUAGUUUGAUCAUAACUCCGUUUUAGCUUGCAUUUCACCCUUUAUCUUUACAUAUCUAGUAUCCACUGCUUAAACAACUAGUAUAAAAAUAGAUCACGUAUAUUUAGAGACCCAUUAACAAAUUUAGUUGUGAUUACCAUUUUCACGGUAAAUAGGAAGAUCAUUCUAUUCCUCUUUACGUCAUUUUUCCUGACUAGAGGGAAGAUGGAUGUGUCAUUGCUGAGGAGGAAACCCUUCCUACUGUGGAGAAAAUGGUACCACGAUGUCCCAAUGUUUAGCCUAACUUCAUAAAGGUGGCAGAACUGGUGAAAAGGAGGUUUAAAUCUACAAUGAUAGUUGAGCUGUUAACUAGCUCAAGGUUAGACUCGGCCUACCUGGGCCCAAGGAUCGGAUCCCUGCGGGCGAUGACGAGGUGCGAGAUCAUCUUCCCGGCUUCUGCGCUCUUUAUGCAUAUCUGUUCUUAAUUUGAUAUUAGUUCCCUUUGCUGCUGUUGAUAGAGGAGUUAUGUCUCUACUACAACGUAUAUCCGAUGCAUCUCCGCCCUUAUAUCUUUAAAGUGUCAUGAUGUUGACUACAUUCAUUGAAUUGGCUGACGUUAACAUAAAAGUAUGCCACCUGAUCCAUCUAUUUGCCCCUCAUUUCUUUUGAGGGACUUUGCUGGAUCUUCGCCAUCGGGGGGAAAAAAUGUUUAGUGGUGAGGAUGGAUGACAAGGCUAGUCGGCAUUUCUAGCUUGACUAUUUCUAUGUCAGGACCAAGGAUGUGGUUUCCGCCACCAUAGGCUUCCUUAAGACUUGUAACCCUACCCGUAAGUACUCUAUAUGUUUAUAUAACUUUUUGUUUCCAAUGUUUUUCUUAUUGUGGGUCAGUUAAUUAGCUUUCCCUUUUUUUUGCAGCUACUAAUCCAACUCUCCAAAUGGUGGCCCACAUUAGCAUUGGGUUCGACAGAUUCUUCCUAGUACGACAUGAAUACAUUAUUGGUCAAGGUUUCUAAGAGAUAUAGGUUGUCUCUUCCCUCGACAGGUAACCUACUCCUUACCCUCGAUGCUACAAUUUCUUCGCCCAUGUCUGUUACCUCUGCUGAUUUUUCCCUUUCUCAUUUUUCUUUAGCUUCGGCCAUGGGAUCUACCAGGAUUUUGAGAGCUCCCAUGACCUCAUUCGGAAGAAGAGGGCCACUAUUUCUUUAGUCUCUUCCCCUUCUAUGACUACUACUGAACCUGUCUUCGUUCCAAUUCCACCUGCCACCACUUAUGCCUUCGUUUCUGCUCUGGCUGCUGAGAUUUGUGCUCCUCUAUAUUCUCUCAUUGACAAGGACAAUGUGUUACUCUGGCCGUUGAUGUGGCAGGAGGGAUUUUUCAUUGCAUGAGGCAAGGAUAAUUUUUAUGGGCGAUGAAUCUCAAGGCUCAAAGACUGGUCGAAGCCGAUGUAGGUGUUUCUUUUCAUUCCGAGGGAAUGGAAACUAAGGGGGAGAUUGCUGACGUUGUUGACUUUUCGUGCGAGAUAAACCUUCAACCUCUCGGACAACCGCAUAUGCUUCUUUGCCUACAAAUGAUAGGGGCAAAAGCAUUGAUGAAGAGGCAUAUGAGUCGGGUUUCAAUGUGUAUGCAGACAACAUGAAAAAGAUUGAAGAUGGGCUUAUCUAGCUCGUGGCAAAGUUAGAGGGGUCUACGAGGUCUAUCAUGAUGCCUAUGGAGACUUGUUUGUGGACACCGAGGAGGUAGUCUCUGCCUUUGGUCCUCUCUAUUCCAUAGUUGAGGGUAAGACCCUUAAGGAAAUCAAUAAUGGUGCUUUGUCGAGGAGCACUGCCGGCCUAGCUGUUAGGGUAAGUGUUUGUGAUAUGAACUUUUUCUUGUUUCUUAGGACUUUUAAAGUUCUGACCUUUAUUCUCCUCUUGUUUAGUAUACAGACAGUGAUUUUAGAAAUGGAGAGCACUCAGAUAGAGAAAUGAGAUAAAGUUAUCUUCAUGAAACUGAAAGAUAAAUACCUUGAGUAGCGAGAUCUCCACAGUCAGUUUUGCGAGGGCGGAAACAUGAAUGCCUUGAUGGAAGAUCUAAAGAAUAGGGACGAGGACCUAGUACAAGCCAUAGAGAAGUUCAUUAUCCUCGAGGGGAUAUUAAGAAGUAGAGAGUAUGAGCUUGAGGUUAGCAGGGGCAUAGAGGCCCAAUGCAGUGAUCUAAGAUCAAGUGCUUGAAUUGUAAGGGCAGCUUAAAGAGUGUCGGUUUUAGCUGGAGGCCCUUAGUGGAAAUAUUAUUGAGAAAAGAAGGAGCUUGAGAAGACAGAGCCGUCUAGUUUGGACGCUCGGAGGAAGGAAGAGAUGUUCGAGGUGGCAAAUAAGACUCUUCAAGCCGAGCUGGAAAAUGAUCAAUCGACAACGAGAGCUACGGAAUACCAGAUCGAGGAAUUGGAGAAAGAUAAUUUCGUCCUUCAUGAUCAAGUAGCCGCUCUAAUGGCCGAGAAAGGCUCAACUACUUGCACGACCGUCCUCCUCCAACACUUCUAACUUUCGCAAUAUUCCUCGAAAGUUAUACAAAGAAUGGAACCACACUGAGUGAUGUGUUUUGAGAUUUAUACAGUAGGCUUGGUUCAUGGGGAUGCAUUUGAGGAUGCUCGAGUGAGGGCUCGUGAAGCUAGUGUUUCUUAAGGAUAUGAUCCCACAACGUGUGAUGAACCAAAGGGGUCAUCACCUGUUUCUAAUUAAAAUAUGUGUUUUCGAGGCCUUGAAAACCUUAUUUAGGGUUGCCUCGAUUUGCGUGCACAGUCCAGGCGCAUAGCCGGAAAGCUUAUAUGGGAAAUUUUUGCAAAAAAUGCUAAAUUUUGGUAUUAUAAUCAACGAGUUUGACUCCAGACAACAUUUUAGGCAAACAGACCCGGACCUAUGAUUUGACGGUCCUAGAGGGUUCAUAGGAAAAUAUGGGACUUGCGCUUAUGUCCGAAAUCGAAUUCCGAGGUCCCAAGCCCGAGAUAUGAAUUUUUAUAUGAAAUUGCUUUAUGAAAAUGUUUAAAGAGAAUUGAAGUAAAAUCUAAUUUGAAAGUAAUGAUAUCGCGCCUGUAUUUUGGUUUCGGCGCCCGGUACAAGUCUCAUAUAUGUUUUGAAUCACUGUUGUAAAGUUUGGUUAAAAACGAACGUUGUUUGGUGCGAUCCGGAUCCUAAUUGGGAAAUUUAUGCUUAAAAGGAGUUUUUAGAAAUUUCAUUGAUCUUGAGGCUCAAUUUGAUGUUCAUGAUGUUAUAUUGGUGAUUUCAUCACACGAAUAUGCUCGUAGGAUGUUUUGAGGUUGUGUAUAUAUUUGGUUUAAAGCUUUGAGGGCUCGGGUGAGUUUCGAGUAGGUUCCGGGAUGCCUUAGGCUUAAAAAGAUCAGAUGUUGCAGGUUUAGGAAUUUUCACAAGUCUCUGAACCCUCUUGCGCGGCCCGCGAGAAAUAGCAUGCGGCCGCUGAGGGGCCAGCAUGGCCGCAAUCACCUUUGAGCGGUUCGAGGUGGGUGUUGUGCGCCGGUAGUCAGCUUGGUGCGGUCCGCAUUGGGCAAUAAUAUGCAGGUCUUCAGGAAGCCUGUGCGGCCAUGGUCCUUUUUUGCGCAGUCCGCACAAGAAAGUUUAGAGGGGCAUAAAUAUAUUUGAAUUUAAGUUAUUUUACAUUUUUCUAAACCCCAAAACAUAAGAGACGAUUUUCCAAGCAACAUUUCUUCUCCAAAACAAUUGGUAAGUGGUUUCUAACUCAUUUUCUUCAAUCCUUAGCAUCUUUUAACAUGAUUUCAACUUCAAAUCAAUGAUUUUCAUGGCAUAAUUGGGUGUUUUGGGUAGAACCUAGGUUUUCUAAAAAUUUGGGAGUUGGACCUCAAUUUAAGGUCUGAUUUCAAAAAAAAAUCAUAUAUUUGGAUUUGUGGGGAAAUGUGUAACCGAGUUUUGCUCCAAACGUCGAGUUUUGACCGCGUGGGCCCUAGGGCAUUUUUCACCUUUUGGGGUAAAACCUUAUAAAACUUAUUUUCAUGCAUUGGAGUUGAUUCAUUUUGCAUUUAUUAAUAUGAUUAACUUAUGUCUAGAUUCGAGCAGAUUGGUGGUGGAAUCAAGAAGUAAAGCUAUAAUUGGGACUUGAGUGGUGUUUAAGGCAUCGAGGUAAGUGUUUGGUCUAACCUUAGCUUGAGGGAUUAGGAGUCAUAUGUGCUAAUUGCUCUUUGUUGAGUACGACAUAUAAGCAUGGUGACGAGUAUCUAUACGUUAGUGUCAAGCAUGAUGGUGAGUCCUAAAUUAGAAGUUGUUGUAUUCUUAAAUGACUUCACGUAUGCCUUAUCUAAUGAUCCACCGUAUCGAGCAAAGAUUUAUUUAUCCUCGUAGAUCUUAUUUAUGAUUGAGCACCUUCAUUAAGAAAAUAGAGAUGAGGUUGGUUAUAGCUUAUUCUCCAUUGCCGGGAUGAUUGGUUCUAUAUUGUUGUUCCAUUGCUGGGAAGUUAUUAUGUUACUUUGUUCCUUUGUCGGGACCUCUAGUGAUUAUGUGAUAACAUGAAACGGGAAUGGGUGGUACGCCUACCACAAGAUAUUGAAAUAGGAGCGAGUGGUACGCCUACCACAAGAUUUGAUGAAAUGGGAGCGGGUGAUAUGCCUACCAUAAGAUUUGAUGAAAUGGGAGCGGGUGGUUCGCCUACCACAAGAUUUGAUGAAAUGAGAGCAGGUGGUACGCCUAUCACAAGAUUUGAAGUAAUGGGAGUUGGUGGUAUGCCUACAACAAGAUUUGAUGAAAUGGGAGCGGGUGGUACGCCUACCACAAGUGAUAUUGAAAUGGAAGCGGGUGGUACACCUACCACAAGUGAUUAAAAUGGGAGUUGGGGGUACACCUACCACAAGUGAUGUUAAAAUGGGAGUGGGUGGUACGCUUACCAUAAGUGACAUUGAAAUGGGAGCGGGUGGUACGCCUACCACGAGUCAUGAUGAAUUGGGAGCAAGUCGUAAGCCUACCACGAGAUAUGAGAAAUGGGAUCGGGUUGCACGCCUGCAAUGAGAUGAGCAUUGAAAGUGAAAGUUGUUUUUACCUAUUCUUAUCCGUGUUAGUAGCUUAAUAGUUGAUCUCAUUAUUAUUUCUUGAAGAUUCUGUUUAUUUUUCUAUCCCCAAAAAAUCAUGUUUCCCCUCCCUAGUUUUACUUGUUUAUUUCUUGUUAUUUCUUUUGUUAUAUAUUAUUUAACUGCACAGGUUUAGCUGGAGUCUGGUCCUAGCUUCGUCACUACCUCUCUGGGGUUAGGCCAGACACUUACCAGCACAUGCGGUGAUUGUGCUGAUGCUACACUCUACACUUAUGUGCAAAUACCGUAGCAACGUGUGAGCAGCAACACUAGACUGGGUGCCAGCCUUCAGUCCACCAAGACACCGAGGCAACCUUGCAGAUGUCCGUAGAUCCGGAGUCUUCUCUAUGUUGCUUUUAAUUUGUUAACUUAUGUAUUCCGAUACAAACAAUGCUAUAUUUCUUUCAAACAGUUGUAUUUAGUACUCUUAGUAGUCCCUGGGUAAUGUGACACCAGUUCUUGGGUAAAGAUAUAUGAUAAGUUCCGCAUUAUUGUUCAGUUUAUUUAAUUUAAGUCUUCC
RNAcentral lists this long non-coding RNA (9254 nucleotides) under Nicotiana benthamiana. RNAcentral's name for it is "long non-coding RNA (NBEN_LNC040670)". Lineage: Eukaryota; Viridiplantae; Streptophyta; Magnoliopsida; Solanales; Solanaceae. The record is from RNAcentral.